This 393-nucleotide ribosomal RNA is filed under the name Triticum aestivum (bread wheat). RNAcentral describes it as "partial small subunit ribosomal RNA". The record is from RNAcentral. Lineage: Eukaryota; Viridiplantae; Streptophyta; Magnoliopsida; Poales; Poaceae.
AUGGGAUACUGGUUCUUCGGCGGCCACGGCGGCUUCUAUAUACCCUCCUAUGACGGGAGCCAGUCUCGACCCGCUGGCCCUCACCGGCCGCUGCUGUAUGGUACUGUGCCAUACGAGGAGCAGAUCCGCCGGAUGGAAGAAGGCGUCCGCCUCCGUCAACGGCCACCGCCCAACCCCACAGUCUGGAAAUACUUCAAGAUCCUCACUAGGUGUUUCAUGGCCGCGAUGAGUAUCACUAUGAUGGCUUGGAUAUUCGUGGCACGAUAUUUCAACUGGAAUCCUGAUGUGCAGGACCCCUACAAGAUGAUGGCACUGCUUCUUUGUUCUCUCAUACCGGUGGGAUUCGGUUUCAUGAUAACCGAAGAAGAUCAGGGGGAGGCACCGCACGGUUGA